This 21-nucleotide non-coding RNA is filed under the name Caenorhabditis elegans. Lineage: Eukaryota; Metazoa; Nematoda; Chromadorea; Rhabditida; Rhabditidae. The record is from RNAcentral.
UUUCCUUAUGUAAGUUAUUUA